This 301-nucleotide ribosomal RNA is filed under the name uncultured bacterium. RNAcentral describes it as "partial 16S ribosomal RNA". It matches the Rfam family "Bacterial small subunit ribosomal RNA", at positions 509 to 807 of the family's 1533-position model. The record is from RNAcentral.
CAGCAGCCGCGGGAAAACGUAGGUGGCAAGCGUUGUCCGGAAUUAUUGGGCGUAAAGGGCUCGCAGGCGGUUUCUUAAGCCUGAUGUGAAAGCCCCCGGCUCAACCGGGGAGGGUCAUUGGAAACUGGGAAACUUGAGUGCAGAAGAGGAGAGUGGAAUUCCACGUGUAGCGGUGAAAUGCGUAGAGAUGUGGAGGAACACCAGUGGCGAAGGCGACUCUCUGGUCUGUAACUGACGCUGAGGAGCGAAAGCGUGGGGAGCGAACAGGAUUAGAUACCCCAGUAGUCCCUGUCUCUUAUAC